AGCACGAACAGAUUAGAGCUUGGGGCCUCCGGCGGCGGACCUGCGACGCCGGGCGAACGUGGUCGCCGUGACGCUGAUGUACGGUGCUCCGACGUCCUGGGGAAACUCCCCGCCCCGCCAUUCUCCACCUCGCCUUCCCUCUUCCCGAUCCGGCGCCUAGCUCCGCCGUCCAUCGAUGCCGAAGAAAAGAACUCCAAUCUUCAGAGCAAGUAGCGUCCGAGAAGGCUCAACAUCAACCAGUACAUUAUUCUAGUUACCUUGUAAUCUGAUAAUGAUCAUAUUCCCCGUUGUAUGCUCUUGAUGGUUGGUAAUCACCGUGAAGUGCCUCUCCUUAACAGCAACAAUUGAGACCAGGAAGAUUCAUUGCCAGAUUUGACUCAUGCGCAUCUCUGCCGUAACUAUCUAAGCUGCUAGUAUGUGCUUACCUUGAUGGCAUGUAUGCUUCCUUGCUUCAGAACAAUAUGGAGCAAUUACCUACCUCCGUGCUUAUAUUUUGUAAAACUAGAAGUGCUCUGGUCGAA
Long non-coding RNA from Triticum dicoccoides, 521 nucleotides. RefSeq lists it as uncharacterized. NCBI's taxonomy places the organism in Eukaryota, Viridiplantae, Streptophyta, Magnoliopsida, Poales, Poaceae. The transcript is spliced from 2 exons. The record is from RefSeq and is a predicted model, not a curated record.